This 1048-nucleotide unclassified non-coding RNA is filed under the name Rhodotorula toruloides. Lineage: Eukaryota; Fungi; Basidiomycota; Microbotryomycetes; Sporidiobolales; Sporidiobolaceae. The record is from RNAcentral.
CUCGCUCGAAAGGGUCGCCAGCUGACUACGAACGCACACGAAGCGAUGAUCCGCUCCUGCUCUCGUGCGUAGUAUGAAGAGUCGCUUGCUACUGAUGCCCCAGUUGCUUGUAGGUCUCCAGCGCGGGCGUGCGAAGUGAGAACAACAGGUGCGCAAGGAACUGCUUUCUCGGUGUCCUCAAGAUCACUACGCUCCAUCUGCCAUCGCCCCUCGCCUCGCCGCUUCGUUCGUCCCUCGAGAAAAAGCUGGUGUCGCUGUUGCCCAAAAGAUUGACUUACUCGGCUGCGUGUUCCGCCAGUCGGACUCGCAGGACGUCCCAAUCGUCCUGAAAAGCUGAUGGGACUCGCGGGCGCGCCUCGAGCGACCACCAUCUCUUCGCUCUUCGUCGAGCCAAUUCUGCUCCUCCUGUCUACAAUGCAUCGUCCAAGAACCGACAGGCGGCAUCUCUCGAGGCGGAAGCAAGCCCAAGGACUGCAAGGCGGAGUCAGUGGGGGAGGGGAGGGCGCCAAGCGGCGGCGAAGGUGGCGGAGAUGACCAUUUCGCAAAGGUCGCGGUUCUGACUUUGUCAUGGAUGGUAGAACGACAAUUGCCUGCGUCUCUGAGUGGAACCUCGCCGCUUUGUCUGCCUCUUCGAGCGCAAUUCUUGGAGAUGCAACCCGCCAACGCAAAGCACCUCGUGGCAUCCUUUUAUCGUUCCCUUUCUAGCUGCCUCGUCGUUUCCGCCCGUCUACCUCCACUUCCCUUUGCUCCUUUCGCCCUCGUCUCGCCUCGAUGCGUCGCCUUCGCGUUCCGACAUCGCUGACCCGUCCCCCGCUGCUCAUCCGGACCCGUCUCUGGGCCGCUCGUCCAUCACAUCGCCGCCGUCCUUUGCCCUCCGCCUGCAAGUCAUCCAGCCUCGUUGGCUUGAUCCUCGGCCUGCGCCUUCUUGGGUGGAUCACGCCAGAUAAACCCUGAUGGCGCCCGGGCGUGUGCUAGUCGCGGAUGGACGAGGAUGCGCGAGUGGGAUUCGCGGGCUGUCGUUCUCGUGCGGGCAAACGCGGGGCGGGAG